AUCCAGCUGACGAGCCCAAACAGGACGAAACGCGCGUCCUGGAU
Molecule: non-coding RNA, 44 nt
Filed under: Schistosoma mattheei
Lineage: Eukaryota; Metazoa; Platyhelminthes; Trematoda; Strigeidida; Schistosomatidae
Source: RNAcentral